RNAcentral lists this ribosomal RNA (396 nucleotides) under uncultured bacterium. RNAcentral describes it as "partial 16S ribosomal RNA". It matches the Rfam family "Bacterial small subunit ribosomal RNA", at positions 523 to 918 of the family's 1533-position model. The record is from RNAcentral.
AUACGUAGGGGGCAAGCGUUAUCCGGAUUUACUGGGUGUAAAGAGAGCGUAGACGGCAAUGCAAGUCAGAUGUGAAAACCCGAGGCUUAACUUCGGGAUUGCAUUUGAAACUGUAUAGCUAGAGUGUCGGAGAGGUAAGUGGAAUUCCUAGUGUAGCGGUGAAAUGCGUAGAUAUUAGGAGGAACACCAGUGGCGAAGGCGGCUUACUGGACGAUUACUGACGUUGAGGCUCGAAAGCGUGGGGAGCAAACAGGAUUAGAUACCCUGGUAGUCCACGCUGUAAACGAUGAAUACUAGGUGUGGGGGGACUGACCCCCUCCGUGCCGCAGUUAACACAAUAAGUAUUCCACCUGGGGAGUACGAUCGCAAGAUUGAAACUCAAAGGAAUUGACGGGG